Non-coding RNA from Amborella trichopoda, 2610 nucleotides. The record is from RefSeq and is a predicted model, not a curated record. NCBI's taxonomy places the organism in Eukaryota, Viridiplantae, Streptophyta, Magnoliopsida, Amborellales, Amborellaceae.
UCGUACGUACCGCCCGCCACCCCCCACGUUUUGCCCUUUCGCCUCCUCGACUGGACCGUCACUCCCCUCCCGGCCUUUUUCUCUCUAAAAAAUGGCCCCCUCUCUCUCUCUGUCUUCAAAAGGCCGCUGCUCUCUCUGCAACUUAAAAAAGGCUCCUCUCCAUUCCUAAGUUUCCCUCUCCUCUCUCCCUCCCUCAACCUUGUGUCUCUCCCAUCUCUCUCUUGCUUCCUGCGUCUCUCUCUCUUCUUUGAAGAUAGGUAAUGGAGGCGGCUACGCUCUCGCGCAUCGGCCUCGCAGGCCUUGCGGUCAUGGGCCAGAACCUCGCCCUCAACAUUGCCGAGAAGGGAUUCCCGAUCUCCGUGUACAACCGAACCACUUCAAAGGUCGACGACACGGUCCAUCGUGCCAAUGCCGAGGGGGGCCUCCCCCUCUUCGGCCACCGCUCCCCACAGGACUUCAUCCUCUCCAUCCAGCGGCCCCGCUCCAUCGUCAUCCUCGUCAAGGCCGGGAGACCUGUUGACCAGACCAUCGAGACCCUCUCGACCUUCAUGGAGCCCGGGGACUGUUUGAUUGAUGGAGGAAACGAAUGGUAUGAGAACACCGAGCGGCGCAUUGAGGAGGCAUCUGCCCGUGGCCUCUUGUAUCUCGGCAUGGGCGUGUCGGGUGGCGAGGAGGGAGCUCGCAAUGGCCCCUCACUGAUGCCUGGCGGAUCGUUUGAUGCGUAUCAGAAUAUCAGAGAUAUUCUUGAGAAGGCGGCUGCGCAGGUAUCUGAUGGGCCUUGUGUUACUUAUAUAGGACCCGGGGGUUCAGGCAAUUUCGUUAAGAUGGUGCACAAUGGGAUUGAGUAUGGUGAUAUGCAGUUAAUCUCUGAGGCCUAUGAUGUUUUGAAGCAUGUUGGUGGGUUGAGUAACCAGGAAUUGGCUGAGAUUUUCGAGGGGUGGAAUAGGGGGGAGCUUGAGAGUUUCUUGAUUGAGAUCACCUCUGAUAUAUUUAGGGUUAAGGAUGGGUUUGGAGAGGGGGACCUGGUUGAUAAGAUCUUGGAUAAAACUGGGAUGAAGGGGACCGGGAAAUGGACGGUUCAGCAAGCUGCUGAGCUCUCCGUGGCUUCACCCACAAUCGCAGCUUCGCUCGAUUGCAGGUAUCUCAGUGGGUUAAAGGAAGAGAGAGAAGUGGCAUCAAAGGCUUUUUCGGAGUUUGGGUUGAGUGAGGUCUUGGCGAGGCCGGCGGUCGAAAAGAAGAAGCUCAUUGAAGAUGUGAGGCAGGCUUUGUAUGCCUCGAAAAUUUGUAGUUAUGCUCAAGGGAUGAACUUGCUUCGAGCAAAGAGCAUUGAGAAAGGGUGGGGGCUAAACCUUGGUGAACUGGCAAGGAUUUGGAAGGGUGGGUGCAUUAUAAGGGCUGUGUUUUUGGAUAGGAUAAAGAAGGCAUAUGAGAGGAAUCUCGCUCUCCCGAAUCUUAUGGUGGACCCUGAAUUUGCUAGAGAGAUGGUGCAAAGGCAAGCGGCUUGGAGGAGAGUGGUGGGUUUGGCAAUUGAGGCCGGAAUCAGUACACCUGGUAUGAAUGCGAGUUUGGCUUAUUUCGAUAGUUAUAGGCGAGGGAGGCUUCCUGCAAAUCUUGUGCAGGCACAGAGGGACUUGUUCGGGGCUCACACUUAUGAGAGGAUCGAUAGGCCAGGCUCGUAUCAUACUGAGUGGACCAAGCUCGCUAGGCAGAACGAGGCAGGGGGUCCUUCUAAUUCGUGUGUUUUAUCUUUGGCAACAAUGGUUGCUUUGUUCUAGAGAAAUAAGGUACCCUUUUUGGUAACUCUAAACUCAUCAAAAGGAAGGGGACUACUUGGAAGGUCCAUUUCUCAUAAUGUUGUAGAAACGUCCAACAAUGUGAGUUCCAAUGUCACUAUUAAGAGAAUUUCAGGGAGCCAAUAUCAUCAUAUUUGGAAAUGAAAAAGAUAAGGGGUGUGGUUUGUAUAAGAUUAAGGCCCUAAUGGGUCGUUUGGGAAUUGGGACCUAUCUUUAGGAAAACCUGGUUUUAGAUAUCUUGGUUUUGACCCUGGUUGGGUUGUUUGGAUCUGUUUUGAUCGAUCAAGACCUGCUUUGGCUAAUCCUCAAAAGCACCCAAAACGAGCUUAGUCUCAUUCCAGAAAAAACCUGGAAUGAACAUAUCCGAGAAUUGCAAAAUCGUAGCGCUGGUCUCGUGAUCCACGCCGCCCAUUGAUAUCCACUCAGGCCUAUCAUGUUCUCUCUCCACCUCCAAUUUCUUCCCCAAGCCAUUGCACCUCUCGCCCGCACCUUUCCACCAUUGAAGCUCACUGCCCAUCGUGAUUCUCGACCAACACCAGAAAUCAAUCCGCCAUUAACAGACGUGCAUUUCCUACUGUUGUUGCUGGAUUUUUUUGAAGAAAAAAACCUCCAUCAAGAAGACUCAUUUGUGUGACUUUUGUAGAUCGGUUGAGGAAUGCUGCCUUUGUCGAUUUCAAGGAUGAUGUUUUGGCUUCUCAAGCACACGACUCAACAGGUGCUUUUAGGGGUCCCAUAGGUUAUAUCUGUUGAGAGAGCAAGCACGUUGGCAGCAAAUAAGAAGCAGAGAACUGAGGAAGUGUGUAAGCAGGAUGCAUCC